GGGGUAGUAACUCAGUGGUAGAGUGUCUGCUUCGCAUGCAGGAAGCCCGGAGUUCGAUCCUCCGCUACUCCA
This is a transfer RNA of Spizellomyces punctatus DAOM BR117, 72 nucleotides long. It matches the Rfam family "tRNA". Rfam says of the family: Transfer RNA (tRNA) molecules are approximately 80 nucleotides in length. Their secondary structure includes four short double-helical elements and three loops (D, anti-codon, and T loops). The record is from Rfam. Lineage: Eukaryota; Fungi; Chytridiomycota; Chytridiomycetes; Spizellomycetales; Spizellomycetaceae.